CCCCUAGACGUUCUGGGCUGCACGCGCGCUACAAUAAUACGCACAGCGAGUAUCACUGAGCUCGAAAGGGCAAGGUAAACAAUAGAAAAGGUACUGUAAUGGUUAUAGAUCCUUGUAAUUAUUGAUCUUCAACGAGGAAUUCCUAGUAAGUAUGUGUCAUCAUCACGCACUGAUUACGUCCCUGCCCUUUGUACACACCGCCCGUCGCUCCUACCGAUUGGGUGAGCCGAUGAAACUCUCGGAUGUAGGCUAUUCAUAGCCCGCAGAAGAGAUUUGAAUCGUAGCGCUUAGAGGAAGGAGAAGUCGUAACA
Molecule: ribosomal RNA, 311 nt
Filed under: uncultured eukaryote
Lineage: Eukaryota
Description: partial 18S ribosomal RNA
Rfam family: Eukaryotic small subunit ribosomal RNA
Source: RNAcentral